RNAcentral lists this ribosomal RNA (310 nucleotides) under uncultured Anaerolineaceae bacterium. RNAcentral's name for it is "bacterial SSU rRNA". It matches the Rfam family "Bacterial small subunit ribosomal RNA", at positions 1059 to 1382 of the family's 1533-position model. The record is from RNAcentral. Lineage: Bacteria; Bacillati; Chloroflexota; Anaerolineae; Anaerolineales; Anaerolineaceae.
CUCGUGUCGUGAGAUGUUCGGUUAAGUCCGCUAACGAGCGCAACCCUCGCUGUAUGUUACAUGUGUCAUACAGGACCGCCGGUAUCAAGCCGGAGGAAGGUGGGGAUGACGUCAAGUCCGCAUGGCCUUUAUGUCCGGGGCUACACACACGCUACAAUGGUCGGUACAAUGGGUUGCUAAGCCGCGAGGUGGAGCCAAUCCCCCAAAGCCGGCCUCAGUUCAGAUUGCAGGCUGCAACUCGCCUGCAUGAAGCUGGAGUUGCUAGUAAACGCGCGUCAGCUAUAGUGCGUUGAAUACGUUCUCGGGCCUU